UACGUAGGGGGCAAGCGUUGUCCGGAAUCAUUGGGCGUAAAGCGCGUGUAGGCGGCCAGAAAAGUCCGCUGUGAAAACUCGAGGCUCAACUUCGAGCUGUCGGUGGAAACUUUCUGGCUAGAGUCCGGAAGAGGAGAGUGGAAUUCCUGGUGUAGCGGUGGAAUGCGCAGAUAUCAGGAGGAACACCAAUAGCGAAGGCAGCUCGCUGGGACGGUAUUGACGCUAAGGCGCGAAAGCGUGGGGAGCAAACAGG
RNAcentral lists this ribosomal RNA (253 nucleotides) under uncultured bacterium. Its description in RNAcentral is "partial 16S ribosomal RNA". It matches the Rfam family "Bacterial small subunit ribosomal RNA", at positions 524 to 776 of the family's 1533-position model. The record is from RNAcentral.